This 379-nucleotide ribosomal RNA is filed under the name uncultured bacterium. Its description in RNAcentral is "bacterial SSU rRNA". It matches the Rfam family "Bacterial small subunit ribosomal RNA", at positions 521 to 896 of the family's 1533-position model. The record is from RNAcentral.
UAAGACGUAGGGGGCGAGCGUUGUCCGGAUUUAUUGGGCGUAAAGCGCGCGUAGGCGGCCCGGAUAGUCGGAUGUGAAAACCCAGGGCUCAACCCUGGGCCUGCACCCGAUACUCCCGGGCUAGAGGCAGGUAGGGGAGAGUGGAAUUCCCGGUGUAGCGGUGAAAUGCGCAGAUAUCGGGAGGAACACCAGUGGCGAAGGCGGCUCUCUGGGCCUGUCCUGACGCUCAGGCGCGAAAGCUAGGGGAGCAAACAGGAUUAGAUACCCUGGUAGUCCUAGCCGUAAACGUUGGGUGCUAGGUGUGGGGCGGCGAUUGACCCGCUCUGUGCCGAAGCUAACGCAUUAAGCACCCCGCCUGGGGAGUACGGCCGCAAGGCUA